UACGAAGGGUGCAAGCGUUACUCGGAAUUACUGGGCGUAAAGCGUGCGUAGGUGGUUUGUUAAGUCUGUUGUGAAAGCCCCGGGCUCAACCUGGGAAUGGCAAUGGAUACUGGCAGGCUAGAGUGCGGUAGAGGGUAGUGGAAUUCCCGGUGUAGCGGUGAAAUGCGUAGAGAUCGGGAGAACACCAGUGGCGAAGGCGGCUACCUGGACCAGCACUGACACUGAGGCACGGACAGCAUGGGGAGCAAACAGG
This 253-nucleotide ribosomal RNA is filed under the name uncultured bacterium. RNAcentral's name for it is "partial 16S ribosomal RNA". It matches the Rfam family "Bacterial small subunit ribosomal RNA", at positions 524 to 776 of the family's 1533-position model. The record is from RNAcentral.